AGACAAAGUAGUUAAACUAAAACUAGAAAAGAGGAAAAAGUAGAUACAGUUCUUACAGUUAACUGAAACGAAACUGUUAUAAGUUCAGUUUUUAAAGACUGAACCAUAAAAUAGUAUACUGAACUUUUAGUAAAAGUGGAUCAGUUUUUUUUAGUAUAAUAUAGUAUAGUUAACUAUAGUACAAUACAGUUCAGUUAUUUUUGCCCAGCC
RNAcentral lists this long non-coding RNA (210 nucleotides) under Vigna radiata. RNAcentral describes it as "long non-coding RNA (VRAD_LNC001028)". The record is from RNAcentral. Lineage: Eukaryota; Viridiplantae; Streptophyta; Magnoliopsida; Fabales; Fabaceae.